AUUGAACGCUGGCGGCAGGCCUAACACAUGCAAGUCGAACGGUAACAGGAAACAGCUUGCUGUUUCGCUGACGAGUGGCGGACGGGUGAGUAAUGUCUGGGAAACUGCCUGAUGGAGGGGGAUAACUACUGGAAACGGUAGCUAAUACCGCAUAACGUCGCAAGACCAAAGAGGGGGACCUUCGGGCCUCUUGCCAUCGGAUGUGCCCAGAUGGGAUUAGCUAGUAGGUGGGGUAACGGCUCACCUAGGCGACGAUCCCUGGCUGGUCUGAGAGGAUGACCAGCCACACUGGAACUGAGACACGGUCCAGACUCCUACGGGAGGCAGCAGUGGGGAAUAUUGCACAAUGGGCGCAAGCCUGAUGCAGCCAUGCCGCGUGUAUGAAGAAGGCCUUCGGGUUGUAAAGUACUUUCAGCGGGGAGGAAGGGAGUAAAGUUAAUACCUUUACUCAUUGACGUUACCCGCAGAAGAAGCACCGGCUAACUCCGUG
Molecule: ribosomal RNA, 490 nt
Filed under: uncultured bacterium
Lineage: Bacteria
Description: partial 16S ribosomal RNA
Rfam family: Bacterial small subunit ribosomal RNA
Source: RNAcentral